GCCCCGGCCGGCCACUGGGCAGGGGGGGCAGGGGCCAGGCCCCCCCCCCGGGGGCGCUCGGGCGGGGGCGCGGCUUUGUGGCGGCUGCGGAGGCCGGGUACAGCCCCGUGGGCACGGCGAGCUGCUCGCGCUUGCGGGAAAGCCUGUCUCUCCGAGCGUGGCUGAGGAGGGGGCUGGGUUUCUUUUUGUUUUUAAAAGUCUCCUUUCGCCCUCGUUAGCCCCCCGCGUGCCGCCGAGAGGAUCGCGUGGAAUGGCUGCAGGGCCCCAGGGCGCACCCCACCCCACGCACGCCCUCUGGGGCGCCAGAAGGCGCAGCCCCGGAGGGAUCCCUGUACCGGGAGGAGGCGCGGCUGACACCUCCGAUGCCAAGUUUCUAGGGGAAAAAAAUUUGACUGCAAACCAGUAAAGCAGCAGAGAGCCAGUGAGGAUGCGAGCACUACAGAGAGUGCGAUGGGAGCACCCAGACUGCUGACCAGCACUGACUCCGUUUUGGCUGCAGGGUUGUGUGUCCUCUUCUCUGCCUGAUGUCAUCCUGGGACAUGGUUGGGACACCCUGAUGUCACAAGGUGGAAGAUGAAAAGACAAACUCUGACACAUGCGAAGAAUGUGAUGCGGGGACCAGCUUGUCUUGAGUGGUUGUACAUUUCUAUCUGCUCCUCUUAGCUCUGUUCAUCUCCCUACUUCAGCAUGCACUUGAUGCUGAAGGGACCCAUGAGCCUUGGAGCUGCUCAAGGUGCUCUCUGGCUCUGGAUUUUACAGUAAUGAAUGCACCCACCACCAAAGUAAUAAUAAACUCACAGCCUCAUCA
Molecule: long non-coding RNA, 808 nt
Organism: Apodemus sylvaticus (European woodmouse)
Lineage: Eukaryota; Metazoa; Chordata; Mammalia; Rodentia; Muridae
Exons: 3
Source: RefSeq, a predicted model, not a curated record